AACGAACGCUGGCGGCGCGUCUUAACCAUGCAAGUCGAGCGGCAGGCAGCAAUGCCGAGAGCGGCGGACUGGUGAGUAACACGUGGAUAACGUACCCCGAUGUCCGGGACAGCCUGUAGAAAUAGAGGGUAAUACCGGAUAGAUCACUGUUUACGUGAGGUAGACAGCGGGAAAGGAGCUUCGGCUCCGCGACGGGAUCGGUCUGCGGCCCAUCAGCUGGACGGCGGGGUAAAGGCCCGCCGUGGCGAGGACGGGUAUCCGGCCUGAGAGGGCGGACGGACACAUUGGGACUGAGAUACGGCCCAGACUCCUACGGGAGGCAGCAGGUAAGAAUAUUCCGCAAUGGGGGGAACCCUGACGGAGCGACGCCGCGUGAACGAAGAAGGCCGGAAGGUUGUAAAGUUCUUUUCUGUCCGAGGAAUAAGUUUCGGAGGAAAUACCGGGACGGUGACGGUAGGGCAGGAAUAAGCACCGGCUAAUUACGUG
RNAcentral lists this ribosomal RNA (486 nucleotides) under uncultured bacterium. RNAcentral's name for it is "partial 16S ribosomal RNA". It matches the Rfam family "Bacterial small subunit ribosomal RNA", at positions 29 to 507 of the family's 1533-position model. The record is from RNAcentral.